GCCUAACACAUGCAAGUCGAACGGGAAUCUGCGGCAAUGGUGGCGGAGGGGUGACUAACGGGUAAAAAUCUAGCGUCGGGACCCGUCCUGCGGUAUGUAGCGAUAGCUACUACCCUUUUCUUCGUAAAUGGCAUGUAUUAGCUGUGAAAGGGCUGGCGUCUGAU
This 164-nucleotide ribosomal RNA is filed under the name uncultured bacterium. Its description in RNAcentral is "partial 16S ribosomal RNA". The record is from RNAcentral.